AAUUUAUAAUGAUAAUAUAUAAGUCACAUAAACAGAUAUUAUAGAAAUAUAAUAUUAAAUUACAUUAAGUUAUUGAUAAAUUUUGUUAUAUAAAUUUAAAAUAUUUUAGCUUAGAAAGAAAAAAUCUGCACGGAUGUGCGGAUCGAGAUCUACUAUAAGUUAUAACCAAUAAUUGCUUCAAAAGGCUCCACGUCACGUAGCAUUAGAGACUUUAGAGUGAGCUGCAGGCUGACAAAAAAAAAAGAGUGAACUGCAAUUUAUUAAAGUAAUAUUAUUGGCGAGCAAUAAUAAUUACGUAGAAAAAUGGCCGCCACGGUGGUCCAGACAUAAUCCACGUGAUGCUCGUUGUCAUAUGGCGAAAGGCCCACGCUGUUCCACAUCAUCGCGCCAGCUGUCUCCAGUUCCCCUAAACGCAGUCAUUUUAUAACCGUCGGAUAUAACAAAUCCAACGGUUGAG
Molecule: long non-coding RNA, 457 nt
Filed under: Brassica rapa (field mustard)
Lineage: Eukaryota; Viridiplantae; Streptophyta; Magnoliopsida; Brassicales; Brassicaceae
Description: long non-coding RNA (BRAP_LNC003878)
Source: RNAcentral